RNAcentral lists this ribosomal RNA (722 nucleotides) under uncultured bacterium. RNAcentral describes it as "bacterial SSU rRNA". It matches the Rfam family "Bacterial small subunit ribosomal RNA", at positions 52 to 769 of the family's 1533-position model. The record is from RNAcentral.
CACAUGCAAGUCGAACGGCAGCACGGGAGCAAUCCUGGUGGCGAGUGGCGAACGGGUGAGUAAUAUAUCGGAACGUGCCCAGUAAUGGGGGAUAGCCCGGCGAAAGCCGGAUUAAUACCGCAUACGACCUACGGGUGAAAGCGGGGGAUCGCAAGACCUCGCGUUAUUGGAGCGGCCGAUAUCAGAUUAGCUUGUUGGCGGGGUAAAAGCCCACCAAGGCGACGAUCUGUAGCUGGUCUGAGAGGACGACCAGCCACACUGGGACUGAGACACGGCCCAGACUCCUACGGGAGGCAGCAGUGGGGAAUUUUGGACAAUGGGCGCAAGCCUGAUCCAGCCAUGCCGCGUGUGGGAAGAAGGCCUUCGGGUUGUAAACCACUUUUGUCAGGGAAGAAACGGCCUUUACUAAUAUUAGGGGCUAAUGACGGUACCUGAAGAAUAAGCACCGGCUAACUACGUGCCAGCAGCCGCGGUAAUACGUAGGGUGCAAGCGUUAAUCGGAAUUACUGGGCGUAAAGCGUGCGCAGGCGGCUUUGCAAGACAGAUGUGAAAUCCCCGGGCUCAACCUGGGAACUGCACUUGUGACUGCAUGGCUAGAGUACGGUAGAGGGGGAUGGAAUUCCGCGUGUAGCAGUGAAAUGCGUAGAUAUGCGGAGGAACACCGAUGGCGAAGGCAAUCCCCUGGACCUGUACUGACGCUCAUGCACGAAAGCGUGGGGAGC